CCUACGGGUGGCAGCAGUGAGGAAUAUUGGUCAAUGGGCGAGAGCCUGAACCAGCCAAGUCGCGUGAAGGAUGAAGGAUCUAUGGUUUGUAAACUUCUUUUAUAUGGGAAUAAAGUGAGGAACGUGUUCCUUUUUGUAUGUACCAUAUGAAUAAGCAUCGGCUAACUCCGUGCCAGCAGCCGCGGUAAUACGGAGGAUGCGAGCGUUAUCCGGAUUUAUUGGGUUUAAAGGGUGCGUAGGUGGUUAAUUAAGUCAGCGGUGAAAGUUUGUGGCUCAACCAUAAAAUUGCCGUUGAAACUGGCAGUCUUGAGUACAGUUGAGGUAGGCGGAAUUCGUGGUGUAGCGGUGAAAUGCUUAGAUAUCACGAAGAACUCCGAUUGCGAAGGCAGCUUACUAAACUGCCACUGACAUUGAUGCUCGAAAGUGUGGGUAUCAAACAGGAUUAGAUACCCCAGUAGUC
Molecule: ribosomal RNA, 460 nt
Filed under: uncultured bacterium
Lineage: Bacteria
Description: partial 16S ribosomal RNA
Rfam family: Bacterial small subunit ribosomal RNA
Source: RNAcentral